UACGUAGGUGGCAAGCGUUGUCCGGAUUUAUUGGGCGUAAAGCGCGCGCAGGUGGUGCGGUAAGUCUGCCGUGAAAUCUCCCGGCUCAACUGGGAGGGGGCGGUGGAGACUGCCGGACUGGAGGGACUCAGAGGCCGGUGGAAUUCCCGGCGUAGUGGUGAAAUGCGUAGAGAUCGGGAGGAACACCAGUGGCGAAGGCGGCCGGCUGGGGGUGCCCUGACGCUGAGGCGCGAAAGCGUGGGGAGCGAACCGG
Molecule: ribosomal RNA, 253 nt
Filed under: uncultured bacterium
Lineage: Bacteria
Description: partial 16S ribosomal RNA
Rfam family: Bacterial small subunit ribosomal RNA
Source: RNAcentral